CUCUUUUCGAUUUAUUAUACUUUAUCGUUGUUAUUCUCGUGUUCUGAUUGCUUGACGUGUGGUAAUUAGCAGAUAUCCGGGUCCUCUGGGAAAUUAGGGUUUUCCUAGUUUCAUUAUUUAAACGGAAAUCGACAGUGCGAAUUUCGGUUCCCACAUUCAUCCUUGGUGUCUGAACCUUCCUUUAGAAGCUUCUCAUCAGUGAGAAUGGAUUUAAGUCCAAGCACUCCAAAGUGAGCAAGCAUCCUCACCUUUCAUAGGGUGAAAUCACCAUCACCCUCAAACCGGUCGAUAUCCACACGUUCCUUCGAAGUCACCAUUGAACAGGUGUUUCAGCUGGAGUGGGCCUGCGUGUUCUUGGCCCAAGUCACAUCAGUAUUGCUUCUGGCCCAUCUGUCUUGCCGAAGCCCAAGCUAUGUUCACAAUGAUCAUUUCCUGGAUAAACAUAGUCGUCUCUUUUUGUUAGUUGAAUCACUACUGAUCCAAAAAUAUAGAUAGAUAUACAAGAUGGAAGAGAACAAAAAUAAACAGAGAAGAAGAAUCUCCCAUAAAAUUACCAGUAAUGGUGUUCCCGUCUAUGAGUUACUUAUUGAUUAUCAUACACCUGCGCAAGAUCACAAAAGUAGAAUUUAAAUUAGAACGAUCAAAAACAUAUGAAAACUUAAAAGAUAGAUGCGUGAAACUAAUGAGGGUGGUGUGAUAUUUAUAUAGCAAAUUAGUUUAAGUUUCUAAAUGACUUAGUUUUCAAGAGAAGCUGUGAGAUAGAAUAUCUUCAAAUAAAUUUUAAUUCAGCUCUGAGAUAGAAUAUCUUCUAAUAAAUUUUUUAAGAUAUUUUGGUUAUAAUAUAUACAUAAUUUUGGUAACUCAAAUCUUGCUAUAUAUAUAUAUAUUUAAAUAUUAAAUGCAUGAUAU
Molecule: long non-coding RNA, 909 nt
Organism: Brassica rapa (field mustard)
Lineage: Eukaryota; Viridiplantae; Streptophyta; Magnoliopsida; Brassicales; Brassicaceae
Source: RefSeq, a predicted model, not a curated record